Non-coding RNA from Arachis ipaensis, 3026 nucleotides. Lineage: Eukaryota; Viridiplantae; Streptophyta; Magnoliopsida; Fabales; Fabaceae. The record is from RefSeq and is a predicted model, not a curated record.
GCCGGUGUCUUAUGGGGUGUCUUAUAUCGGCUGCUGUUUGGUUCAAUUUUUUCAAAAAAGAAUUAUACAAACCAAUUAUUUGUAAAAUUUUCGAUUUGGCUUGGUUUCUUGGGCUUUACGUUAAUUUAAAAACCGACAACUCUAGUGCCAUCGCCUCCCCAUAAGACCCCUGAUUCCACCUUCACCUCCGCCACCUGCACCGCUGUUGAUGCCAACCCAGCCCCCGCGCUGCCGUUGACGCCGCCCCGGCUCCUACCACCCGCGACGCCACAGAUGCCAAUCCAGCCCCCGCGCCGGCGUUGACUACGCUGGCCCCGGCCCCUGCCAUUGUCUUUAUUGUUGCUUAGGAGAGCCUUGCAAGUUUGUUUGAAGGUACACUUAGCAUUCCGAAAAUCGCACAAAGGUAUGUCUUAUGUUGGACCUGUUACUACUACGGAUUAUCUUAUAUUAUAUCAGCCCAACAAAAGUAAAUAUACAUAGCUGUUAGCCAUAUUUUUCAGCUUAGGGACCAUUAUAAGAGUGCUAAACUUGCUUCCAAACUGAAUUCCUCAUGGAAUUAACAAAAGUGGUCUUUGGGUAUUAUUGUUAUUUAUUAUAAUAUGAAUUAUUAAUCACAUUAGAAAGACCAAAUUAAAUAAAAAAACUAACUAUAAAAGUCAUAUUAGAGUCAUAAGUAGUGGAAAAUUGUAGUCAAAGAGUACUAAAAAUAUCUACUGGAAAAGGGUAUUUUUCUCUCUAAUUUGUUUUCUAUUUUUCCUCUUUCAAAAUAGUAGAUUAGGUAUUUUCUUUGACUGGAAUGUGGAAGAAAGUACAUCUUUUUGUGGUUAUGUUCUUUCAUUCUAACAAAUGCCCUCGUUUUCUUUCCUUGUUUGAGAUCAAUUAAUUGUUCUUGUUUAAAACUAUUGCUUCUGUUGUUACUCAAAUCUUUCUAAAUUCGUUGUUUGUAUUUGCACAAUUUUCCUGAUGUGUUGCUGCAUCCAUUGAUGAGUUCUGUGUUCUUCAUUGCAGUUUUGGAAGGUAGACCCUUGUUAGAGGUUAUGUUUUCUCCUCUUUUGCCUAGUUAGUUUUGCUCAAAUAUUUUGGCAAAUAUUAAUGGGAUCCAUGUAAUCACAUAAAUUCUCAACAUGGUUGUUCCUGGAAUCAAAGGACUCAUAUAUAGUUCUUUAAAAUUGGGUAAUUUAAUAUCAUUCUUAAUUGAGUUUGCCUCUUUAUUAAUUCUUUUUCUUCCAAUUUUCCAUUUCUGGUUUUGUUGACUAAAUUUUACAUAUCAUCUGAUCAUGUGGUUUUCUUACCUAACCUGGUUGAAGGUUUACUUCUCGUUUUGUAUUGUUGAUUGAUGACUAUUCAUGAUUAAAUGAGUUUGAUGCCAUCUAGUAGAGUAAUUUUUCUUCUGAUGUCACUUUACUUGUUAGUUAUUCAAAUUUAAUCAAAGCAAUUUGUUUGAAUGCAUUUUUUUGUUCUUGAAAUUGCUUACCUCAUUCUUCCAUCAAUUGAUUAGGAUUUGGAUCCUCUAAAGUUUGAAUUUCACUUUAGAGAGUAAAGUGUGAUCUCUUACCCUUGAAUAAUUUCUCUUUCAUAUUUAUUCUUGGUCCCACCUAUGAAAUCAAUGGUGAGAAAUCACACUUUACUCUCUAAAGUGAAAUUCAAACUUUAGAGGAUCCAAAUCCAAUUGAUUAUUACUUCACAUGUUUAUAUCAUAUAUAUGUAUCAUUUGCAUUUUUUUUUCUUGGGUAUCAGAUUUAGGUAUUAUCGAUAGGUGAGUCAUGUGAUCAUUGACAUACUUAUAAGAUACGAGUGCGUUUGUUUCACUCUUUCUUUUAUAUUAUAACCCAUUAUUUGCAGGCCUAUGAUAAACAGAUUCAGAGAUCAAUUAGCUGUGGGAGAAGUUUAUAAGAUGAUUUUUUUUCUUUUUUUUUUCCGUCAUGAAUCAUGGCUCUUAUAGGGUAACUAGCAUGAUUUCAUGUUGAUUUUCCAGUUUAAGACCACUGGUAACCCCUGCAACUUCUGAUUUUAUACCGAAACUUGGAUUGAAAAUUACUCCAUUUGUUGAGUUUUAACAAAUUACUCAGGAUUCUGAUUACUUAGUGGGUAUGCUUUAUCCUUUUUCCCCUAAUGUUUUCUUUAUUUGUUUCUCUCGGAUUUCUGUUAAUAUUUCUUAUACUUUUGUUUCUUGAAUAUCAUUUUUUAAUAGCUGUUAUGGGUUUCCUUAUAUCAGAUGUUGAGGAACAAGAGAGUUUUGAGGUUUAAAGUUUAUAUUUUCUUUCCUUAUCUAAAUGUCUAAAUUAUUUGCUGUUUUGGGUUGAGGAUUCAGUGUGCUGAGUAUGUGGAUCAACUUAAUGUAUUUGAUAUCAUUUAAUGAGACAUUUGAGAGAGCACUUACUUUCCUGUUCAUCUCUGUGGUCCUAUGCAAUGCUUGCACCGCAAAUUUCGUCAGCUUUUUGGUUUAUUUUUUGUCUAAGGUAACAGUUUCAGGAUUCAACAUUUUGAUGUGCUGGUGAAAUACUGGUCCCAUUUUAUUUUGUUGCCUUUUAUAUUCAAUGAGAAUCUCCCUAUUGCCUCUACAGAAGGGAUCUUAAAACUUAAAGUCUAUUUUUUGUACGGUUUAGUUUAAAGUGUAUUUGUGCUAAUUUUUCAAAAUUUUUUUACUCCAAAGCCACCCUAAAUUCAGCAAGAAGCCUCCUCUGCUUCUCUGACUGUGUGUUGCCACUUGUCACAAGAUCAGUUCACGACUCUCUUUCAAGACACUGUUUCACCCUUUGAGAUCGACCUCAGCAUCAAAUUCCAAGAAACCAACAAAUAGCUCCAAUCGCCACCCACAUCAUCCCAAGAGUGUCAAGCACUUCCAAGUUCUGCAAUCUCCAAACUGCGCCACCAUUGACUUGUUAAUAAACUUCGCCCAGAUGCUGCGAGAUAAUAACAACUUGAAAUGGAAUUGUCCUUAUUCCCAUUCUGAUGGAUCAUCAUUAGCUGGAUAUCUUGCUGAUGGGUAUUGGGAGGCUCAAUCCUUGCUUCAAGAUUGCGGAUGG